UGAUAUUGAAAAUAGAGUAUAAACUUAAGAUAACAUCCGGAUCUAUCGAUAGUUUUUUAUCUCCGCAAUGUACGGACAAAACAAUCUUGUAUACAAUUGUAGAGGAAGUAAUAUUGCGGGAUUCAUUUAUAAAAAAUGGCCAAUCGAACUGUUAAAGAAGCAAAAAAUAUUCAUGGAACCAAUCCUCAAUAUCUGGUUGAAAAAAUUAUACGCUCUCGCAUUUACGACUCGAAAUAUUGGAAGGAGCAAUGUUUUGCACUCACUGCUGAGCUGUUGGUAGACAAAGCAAUGGAGCUGCGAUUCAUUGGCGGUGUUUACGGCGGAAAUAUAAAACCUACACAAUUCCUUUGCCUUACGCUUAAAAUGCUACAAAUACAGCCCGAAAAGGAUAUCGUUGUGGAAUUUAUCAAAAAUGAAGAGUUCAAAUAUGUAAGGGCCCUGGGUGCUUUUUAUUUGCGUCUUACAGGAAGCGCAUUGGAUUGUUAUAAAUAUUUGGAACCUCUAUAUAAUGAUAAUCGUAAACUUCGACGCCAAAAUAGGGCCGGGCAAUAUGAAAUUGUUCACAUGGACGAUUUCAUAGACGAGUUGCUCCGUAGUGACCGAGUUUGUGAUAUAAUUCUCCCUCGUAUACAAAAACGCGCUGUACUUGAGGAAAAUAACGAGCUUGAACCAAAAGUAUCAGCGCUAGACGAGGAUUUGGAUGACGAUGUGGUCAGUGAUGAAGACGGUGGCGGGGAAAGGGAUGAUGACAAAAACAAAUCGUCUUUCUUACCUAAGAGGAGAAUACGCAAGGAUCAUUCGCGUUCACGUUCACGUAGUGCUUCAGCAUCUCGCGAUGCAAGAGGCGGAAGAUCUCGCGAUUAUGAUACUGACUUAGAAGACUAUGGUCGUCCACGUGAUCGUGAAAGGGAUAGAUUUGGUGUUAGUUCGACAUCAAGCAGUAGUCGCCAUUGGGAAGAUCGCGGCGGUGGUGGCAGCUCUAGUUAUCGCAGUGGACGCGAUGAUUAUAGAGACGAAUAUAGAAGAGAAGACUAUAAAGAUAGACGUUAUGACCGUGACUCACGAAAUGAACGGGAUAGAAGGCGUCACUAAUCACCAAACAAAUGUUACAAAAUCAGAAAAAAAAAGUUUAACGCUAGCGGAUGUAUGGAUAUGUGGCGAAUAAAAUCAAGACAAUACUGCACAUCAAAAAAUUGGAAAAUUCUGCUUACCCAUAGAAUUCGGAACAAUUAGUCAACGCACAAAAAUGUACAUACAAAAAAUUUAUUUUAAAGAAAAGUUAAAAGUAGAUGGAUUAACGCGUGUUUUCUGAAAAAAAAAUUUAAAUCAACUUACUUUGCCUGCGACUGGACUUGCAAUUUUAAAAAUAAUUGACAACCUUAUAUGACCAGAUUUAGAUAAUUUAAAUAUUAUAAAAGUUGAAGUUGCAUCAUCUCAAUACAUACAUUUGCACAUAGUAUGUAUCAUCUGACUUCGGAAAUUAAUGAUAUCAACAUCUCUACGUGAUUAUCGAGAAACAAGCAGGUAAACACUUCUGAUGUUUCCGAAUUUAGUAUGUAGUGAUAGUAGAGUAGUAUGUAAAUUUCGCCCACUUUCCUUAAAAGCUUAUUAAGUAAAAAUUCGUCGUUUGUCCAAUCAUAUGGGCAAGGGAAACUAAAACUUUUCGGACACAUUAUUCGAGAUUUUGGUAAUGGGCAUUGACUGACAUUGUUUCAGUCAAAAGUAAAAGUUAAAACUUCACUUUUGUUUUGUCGGUCAAAUAUAAAAGUUAAAGUUUUACUUUUAUUUUUUCGGUCAAAAAUAAAAGCUAAAAAUUUACUUUAUUUAUUCGGCCAAAUACAUAUAAAAGUUACAAGUGGACUUUUAUUUUCUUCGGUCAAUUAUAAAAGCUAAGUUAAGUUUUUUCGGUCAAAAUAGCAGUUUCCUUCAAUUGACUGGUUCAGGUUUCUUUUAAAGGACUUAAAUUUCAAGGAUAUAUUAAUUAAAAAUAUUCAGUACAAUUUAUUCGUGGAAUAACCACCAUAUGGGUGCUAAAUGAGAAAGAAAUUUUUGUAGAAUUAACAAUAUUUUUUUUGUUCACUAGGACGUACAUGACCAAAUGAGGAGUUUUUAAAUUUUGCGAGAAAAACGUAUUUUUGGUAGAAAAUAGUUGUACACAUAUCUUGGAAAGUGCAUUAUCUUCAGGUUUGUAUAAAUAACAAGAUUCCGCUGCGAAGUUGUAUUUAAAUGAAAACUUAAAAAAUAUAAAAACUACACAAA
Molecule: unclassified non-coding RNA, 2259 nt
Filed under: Rhagoletis pomonella (apple maggot)
Lineage: Eukaryota; Metazoa; Arthropoda; Insecta; Diptera; Tephritidae
Description: pre-mRNA-splicing factor 38, transcript variant X1
Source: RNAcentral